RNAcentral lists this ribosomal RNA (1053 nucleotides) under Salmonella enterica subsp. enterica serovar Mbandaka. Its description in RNAcentral is "partial 23S ribosomal RNA". It matches the Rfam family "Bacterial large subunit ribosomal RNA", at positions 161 to 1251 of the family's 2925-position model. The record is from RNAcentral. Lineage: Bacteria; Pseudomonadati; Pseudomonadota; Gammaproteobacteria; Enterobacterales; Enterobacteriaceae.
AAUCCAUAGGUUAAUGAGGCGAACCGGGGGAACUGAAACAUCUAAGUACCCCGAGGAAAAGAAAUCAACCGAGAUUCCCCCAGUAGCGGCGAGCGAACGGGGAGGAGCCCAGAGCCUGAAUCAGCAUGUGUGUUAGUGGAAGCGUCUGGAAAGGCGCGCGAUACAGGGUGACAGCCCCGUACACAAAAGCGCAUGUGCUGUGAGCUCGAUGAGUAGGGCGGGACACGUGGUAUCCUGUCUGAAUAUGGGGGGACCAUCCUCCAAGGCUAAAUACUCCUGACUGACCGAUAGUGAACCAGUACCGUGAGGGAAAGGCGAAAAGAACCCCGGCGAGGGGAGUGAAAAAGAACCUGAAACCGUGUACGUACAAGCAGUGGGAGCACAGGUUUACCUGUGUGACUGCGUACCUUUUGUAUAAUGGGUCAGCGACUUAUAUUCUGUAGCAAGGUUAACCGUAUAGGGGAGCCGUAGGGAAACCGAGUCUUAACCGGGCGUUAAGUUGCAGGGUAUAGACCCGAAACCCGGUGAUCUAGCCAUGGGCAGGUUGAAGGUUGGGUAACACUAACUGGAGGACCGAACCGACUAAUGUUGAAAAAUUAGCGGAUGACCUGUGGCUGGGGGUGAAAGGCCAAUCAAACCGGGAGAUAGCUGGUUCUCCCCGAAAGCUAUUUAGGUAGCGCCUCGUGAAUUCAUCUCCGGGGGUAGAGCACUGUUUCGGCUAGGGGGCCAUCCCGGCUUACCAACCCGAUGCAAACUGCGAAUACCGGAGAAUGUUAUCACGGGAGACACACGGCGGGUGCUAACGUCCGUCGUGAAGAGGGAAACAACCCAGACCGCCAGCUAAGGUCCCAAAGUCAUGGUUAAGUGGGAAACGAUGUGGGAAGGCCCAGACAGCCAGGAUGUUGGCUUAGAAGCAGCCAUCAUUUAAAGAAAGCGUAAUAGCUCACUGGUCGAGUCGGCCUGCGCGGAAGAUGUAACGGGGCUAAACCAUGCACCGAAGCUGCGGCAGCGACGCUGAUGCGUUGUUGGGUAGGGGAGCGUUCUGUAAGCCUG